RNAcentral lists this unclassified non-coding RNA (699 nucleotides) under Saxifraga paniculata. RNAcentral's name for it is "sequence contains ITS1, 5.8S rRNA gene, ITS2". The stretch from base 292 to 447 matches the Rfam family "5.8S ribosomal RNA". The record is from RNAcentral. Lineage: Eukaryota; Viridiplantae; Streptophyta; Magnoliopsida; Saxifragales; Saxifragaceae.
AACAAGGUUUCCGUAGGUGAACCUGCGGAAGGAUCAUUGUCGUAACCUGCGAAAGCAAAGCAACUCGCGAACACGUAGUUAACACUCGGGGAUCCAAGCGCGUCCCUCCCGGGGGUCGCCCUUUCUUCCCAACGUCGGGGCUGCYCGUUGCGAGUUAACGACCUCCGGGCCGUCCCGACGCAACAAAAAACCGGCGUGAAAUGCGCCAAGGAACGCGAAAGAGAGUGCGCUCUUCCGGCGUCAGCUCGCGCUGUGCCCGGACGGGCGUCGUCUUCUUGAUGAGUUUAUAAUGACUCUCGGCAACGGAUAUCUCGGCUCUUACAUCGAUGAAGAACGUAGCAAAAUGCGAUACUUGGUGUGAAUUGCAGAAUCCCGUGAACCAUCGAGUCUUUGAACGCAAGUUGCGCCCGAAUCCAUCUGGUCGAGGGCACGUCUGCCUGGGUGUCACGUACACGCGUCUCCCGCAAACCUUCCCCUUUUGUGGACGAAGGGUCUCGCGGGAGCAGAUAUUGGUAUCCCGUGCUCGUUCCGCGCGGCUUGCCUAAAAUCGGAGAGCCGGCGACGAAACGUCACGCUUAGUGGUGGUUAACCAGGCCUAACGGCCGACCAGUUCGUGGCGUGGGCGUUUGUCGCACGGAAGUCUCAGACGACACCUUGGACGUCCCCUAACGGGCGUGCUACUGUCGCGACCCCAGGUCA